GACGAACGCUGGCGGCGUGCCUAAUACAUGCAAGUAGAACGCUGAAGGAGGAGCUUGCUUCUCUGGAUGAGUUGCGAACGGGUGAGUAACGCGUAGGUAACCUGCCUGGUAGUGGGGGAUAACUAUUGGAAACGAUAGCUAAUACCGCAUAAUAGCAGUUGUUGCAUGAUAACUGUUUGAAAGGUGCAAUUGCACCGCUACCAGAUGGACCUGCGGUGUAUUAGCUAGUUGGUGGGGUAACGGCUCACCAAGGCGACGAUACAGAGCAGACCUGAGAGGGGGGUCGGCCGGACUGGGAGGGAGACACGGCACAGAGUGCUACGGGAGGGAGCAGUAGGGAAACGUGGGGAAGCGGCGGAAGUCAGACCGAGAAGGGCGGAGGGAGUGAAGAAGGUUGUCGGAUCGUGAAGCACGGUUGUAAGAGAAGAACGAGUGUGAGCGUGGAAAGUUGACACUGUGACGGUAUCUUACAAGAAAGGGACGGCUAACUACGUG
RNAcentral lists this ribosomal RNA (495 nucleotides) under uncultured bacterium. RNAcentral's name for it is "partial 16S ribosomal RNA". It matches the Rfam family "Bacterial small subunit ribosomal RNA", at positions 28 to 507 of the family's 1533-position model. The record is from RNAcentral.